RNAcentral lists this ribosomal RNA (500 nucleotides) under uncultured bacterium. RNAcentral's name for it is "partial 16S ribosomal RNA". It matches the Rfam family "Bacterial small subunit ribosomal RNA", at positions 30 to 523 of the family's 1533-position model. The record is from RNAcentral.
AUUGAACGCUGGCGGCAUGCCUUACACAUGCAAGUCGAACGGCAGCACGGAGCUUGCUCUGGUGGCGAGUGGCGAACGGGUGAGUAAUAGAUCGGAACGUACCCAAGAGUGGGGGAUAACGUAGCGAAAGUUACGCUAAUACCGCAUACGAUCUAAGGAUGAAAGUGGGGGAUCUCAAGACCUCAUGCUCCUGGAGCGGCCGAUAUCUGAUUAGCUAGUUGGUGAGGUAAAGGCUCACCAAGGCAUCGAUCAGUAGCUGGUCUGAGAGGACGACCAGCCACACUGGAACUGAGACACGGUCCAGACUCCUACGGGAGGCAGCAGUGGGGAAUUUUGGACAAUGGGGGCAACCCUGAUCCAGCAAUGCCGCGUGAGUGAAGAAGGCCUUCGGGUUGUAAAGCUCUUUUGUCAGGGAAGAAACGGUGAAGGCUAAUAUCCUUUGCUAAUGACGGUACCUGAAGAAUAAGCACCGGCUAACUACGUGCCAGCAGCCGCCGUAA